This 492-nucleotide ribosomal RNA is filed under the name uncultured bacterium. Its description in RNAcentral is "partial 16S ribosomal RNA". It matches the Rfam family "Bacterial small subunit ribosomal RNA", at positions 29 to 507 of the family's 1533-position model. The record is from RNAcentral.
AGUGAACGCUGGCGGUAGGCCUAACACAUGCAAGUCGAACGGCAGCACAGUAAGAGCUUGCUCUUACGGGUGGCGAGUGGCGGACGGGUGAGGAAUACAUCGGAAUCUACUUUUUCGUGGGGGAUAACGUAGGGAAACUUACGCUAAUACCGCAUACGACCUACGGGUGAAAGCAGGGGAUCUUCGGACCUUGCGCGAUUGAAUGAGCCGAUGUCGGAUUAGCUAGUUGGCGGGGUAAAGGCCCACCAAGGCGACGAUCCGUAGCUGGUCUGAGAGGAUGACCAGCCACACUGGAACUGAGACACGGUCCAGACUCCUGCGGGAGGCAGCAGUGGGGAAUAUUGGACAAUGGGCGCAAGCCUGAUCCAGCCAUACCGCGUGGGUGAAGAAGGCCUUCGGGUUGUAAAGCCCUUUUGUUGGGAAAGAAAAGCAGCAGGUUAAUACCCCGCUGUUCUGACGGUACCCAAAGAAUAAGCACCGGCUAACUUCGUG